CCUGGUUGAUCCUGCCAGUAGUCAUAUGCUUGUCUCAAGGAUUUAGCCAUGCAUGUCUAAGUAUAAGCACUUACACUUGUGAAACUGCGGAUGGCUCAUUAUAUCAGUUAUAGUUUAUUUGAUGGAUAUUUAACUACAUGGAUAACCGUAGUAACCUAGAGCUAAUACAUGCUAAAAAUCCUGACUUUACGGAAGGGAUGUAUUUAUUAGUUUAAACCAUCUGGCUUUGCCAUUUGUGAUGAUUCAUAAUAACUUUUCGAAUCGCACCGUUUAACGGCGAUAGAUCAUUCAAAUUUCUGCCCUAUCAGCUUUCGAUGGUAGUGUAGUGGACUACCAUGGCAUUAACGGGUAACGGAGAAUUAGGGUUCGAUUCCGGAGAGGCAGCCUGAGAAACGGCUACCACAUCUAUGGAUGGCAGCAGGCGCGUAAAUUACCCAAUCCUAAUUCAGGGAGGUAGUGACAAGAAAUAACAGUAUCGGAUUUAAAAAUAGAAUCUGGUAAUUGUAAUGAGAACAAUUUAAAAAUCUUAACGAAUGCAACUGGAGGGCAAGUCUGGUGCCAGCAGCCGCGGUAACUCCAGCCCCAGUAGCGUAUAUUAAAGUUGUUGCAGUUAAAAAGCUCGUAGUUGGAUUUCUGAUCUACAGUAUCGGUAGUCUUCUUUAGAUUUAUCAUACUCGGGUCAUCCUCUUAAGACUGAUCUUUUGAUUGGUUUUGAGACUUUUACUUUGAAGAAAAUAGAGUGUUCAAAGCAGGCUUACGCUAUGAAUACAUUAGCAUGGAAUAAUAAGAUAGGACUUUAGUUUCUAUUUUGUUGGUCAUAAGGACUAAAGUAAUGAUUGAUAGGGACAGUUGGGGGUGCUAGUAUUAUUUGGCCAGAGGUGAAAUUCAGAAAUUCUUAUAAGACUAACUAAUGCGAAAGCAUUCACCAAGGAUGUCUUCUUUAAUCAAGAACGAAAGUUGGGGGAUCGAAGACGAUCAGAUACCGUCGUAGUCUCAACCAUAAACUAUGCCGACUAGGUAUUGGUAUACAUUGUUCACCGAGUAUAUCAGCACUUUAUGAGAAAUCAAAGUCUUUGGGUUCCGGGGGGAGUAUGGUCGCAAGACUGAAACUUAAAGGAAUUGACGGAAGGGCACCACCAGGAGUGGAGCCUGCGGCUCAAUUUGACCCAACACGGGAAAACUUACCAGGUCCAGACAUUUGGAGGAUUGACAGGUUGAAGAUCUUUCUUGAUUCUAUGAUUGGUGGUGCAUGGCCGUUCUUAGUUGGUGGAGUGAUUUGUCAGGUUAAUUCCGAUAACGAACGAGACCUCGACCUACUAAAUAGUUACAUUAAAUCUAUGAUUUGGUGU
This 1349-nucleotide ribosomal RNA is filed under the name metagenome. RNAcentral's name for it is "SSU rRNA". It matches the Rfam family "Eukaryotic small subunit ribosomal RNA", at positions 3 to 1383 of the family's 1831-position model. The record is from RNAcentral.